Molecule: long non-coding RNA, 515 nt
Filed under: Piliocolobus tephrosceles (Ugandan red Colobus)
Lineage: Eukaryota; Metazoa; Chordata; Mammalia; Primates; Cercopithecidae
Description: lncRNA (ENSPTEG00000026791.1)
Source: RNAcentral
GCCAACUGCAAUGUCAGGAGGAAGCAUGGGGGUGCCACAUCCUUUUCAGAAGCAGGUAUUUCACAUAACAAGAGUGGAGAUGGGGGUAGAAGGCGCCUCACUCUUUUAAACAAUUACAUCUCACAUGAGCUCAGAGUGAGAACUCACUCACUGUCAUGAGGAUGGCACCAACAUGUUCAUGAGGGACCCACCCCCAUAAUCCAAACACCACCCACCAGGCCCACCUCGCCACUGGGGACUACACUUCCAGAGACUUCUGAAAUCCCACCAGGCCCACCUCUACCACCGGGGAUUACACUUCCGGAGAUUUCUGAAAUGCCUUUGAGGCCUUUUCCCCAUGAGAUUUAGAAGAGACAGACAUCUAAACCGUAUCAUUCCACCCUGGGCUUCCCGAAUCUCAUGUCCUUCUCACAUUGCAAAGUAAGAUCGUCCCUUCUCAGUAGCUCUGCAAAGUCUUAACUCGUCCCAGCAUCAACACAACCAAAAGCCUCCAGUCCCAGGUUCAGUCUCAUCUG